UACGAAGGGUGCAAACGUUGCUCGGAAUUAUUGGGCGUAAAGCGCGUGUAGGCGGCUUGGCAAGUCGGGUGUGAAAGCCCUCAGCUCAACUGAGGAAGUGCGCCCGAAACUGCUGAGCUCGAGUGCCGGAGAGGGUGGCGGAAUUCCCCAAGUAGAGGUGAAAUUCGUAGAGAUGGGGAGGAACACCGGUGGCGAAGGCGGCCACCUGGACGGUGACUGACGCUGAGACGCGAAAGCGUGGGUAGCAAACAGG
RNAcentral lists this ribosomal RNA (253 nucleotides) under uncultured bacterium. RNAcentral's name for it is "partial 16S ribosomal RNA". It matches the Rfam family "Bacterial small subunit ribosomal RNA", at positions 524 to 776 of the family's 1533-position model. The record is from RNAcentral.